Molecule: long non-coding RNA, 286 nt
Filed under: Musa acuminata (dwarf banana)
Lineage: Eukaryota; Viridiplantae; Streptophyta; Magnoliopsida; Zingiberales; Musaceae
Description: long non-coding RNA (MACU_LNC008079)
Source: RNAcentral
GAAUCCGAUGUGAGGCAAAAUCCAGGUCUUCUAUUGCUUUCCUUGAUUCUGAGUUGAAUGCCGGUAGGUCACAGUUAUUACAUUAACACCUAGCGGGGAAAGUCUUGUUGGGAGUGGUGGAAUUGCUAGUUUGCGGGGUCAGUCUCAUCGUAACAAGGUUGAUUCUCUUGUUAUGGACGCUAUAUCCUAUUUUCGAUAUAAGUAAGUAAGACACUGUAGUUCGGGUCUUACCUGUAGUGGUGGCAUUGCCUAUUGCGUGUUUCAGUAUUACUAGCCCAAAUUUCAU